Molecule: ribosomal RNA, 253 nt
Filed under: uncultured bacterium
Lineage: Bacteria
Also listed under: 1 other name
Description: partial 16S ribosomal RNA
Rfam family: Bacterial small subunit ribosomal RNA
Source: RNAcentral
UACGAAGGGGGCUAGCGUUGCUCGGAAUCACUGGGCGUAAAGGGUGCGUAGGCGGGUCUUUAAGUCAGGGGUGAAAUCCUGGAGCUCAACUCCAGAACUGCCUUUGAUACUGAGGAUCUUGAGUCCGGGAGAGGUGAGUGGAACUGCGAGUGUAGAGGUGAAAUUCGUAGAUAUUCGCAAGAACACCAGUGGCGAAGGCGGCUCACUGGCCCGGUACUGACGCUGAGGCACGAAAGCGUGGGGAGCAAACAGG